GGGGUAACCUGCGGAGGGAUCAUUACACAAAUAUGAAGGCGGGCUGGAACCUCUCGGGGUUACAGCCUUGCUGAAUUAUUCACCCUUGUCUUUUGCGUACUUCUUGUUUCCUUGGUGGGUUCGCCCACCACUAGGACAAACAUAAACCUUUUGUAAUUGCAAUCAGCGUCAGUAACAAAUUAAUAAUUACAACUUUCAACAACGGAUCUCUUGGUUCUGGCAUCGAUGAAGAACGCAGCGAAAUGCGAUAAGUAGUGUGAAUUGCAGAAUUCAGUGAAUCAUCGAAUCUUUGAACGCACAUUGCGCCCUUUGGUAUUCCAAAGGGCAUGCCUGUUCGAGCGUCAUUUGUACCCUCAAGCUUUGCUUGGUGUUGGGCGUCUUGUCUCUAGCUUUGCUGGAGACUCGCCUUAAAGUAAUUGGCAGCCGGCCUACUGGUUUCGGAGCGCAGCACAAGUCGCACUCUCUAUCAGCAAAGGUCUAGCAUCCAUUAAGCCUUUUUUCAACUUUGACCUCGGAUCAGUAAGGUUCCCCCGUUCCC
This 538-nucleotide ribosomal RNA is filed under the name fungal sp. RNAcentral describes it as "eukaryotic LSU rRNA". The stretch from base 191 to 344 matches the Rfam family "5.8S ribosomal RNA". The record is from RNAcentral. Lineage: Eukaryota; Fungi.